AUUGAACGCUGGCGGAAUGCUUUACACAUGCAAGUCGAACGGCAGCACGGACUUCGGUCUGGUGGCGAGUGGCGAACGGGUGAGUAAUGUAUCGGAACGUGCCCAGUCGUGGGGGAUAACGUAGUGAAAAUUACGCUAAUACCGCAUACGAUCUAUGGAUGAAAGCGGGGGAUCGCAAGACCUCGCGCGAUUGGAGCGGCCGAUAUCAGAUUAGGUAGUUGGUGGGGUAAAGGCCCACCAAGCCAACGAUCUGUAGCUGGUCUGACAGGACGGCCAUCCACACUGGAACUGAGACACGGUCCAGACUCCUACGGGAGGCAGCAGUGGGGAAUUUUGGACAAUGGGCGAAAGCCUGAUCCAGCCAUUCCGCGUGCAGGAUGAAGGCCCUCGGGUUGUAAACUGCUUUUGUACAGAACGAAAAGGUUUCUACUAAUACUAGGAGCUCAUGACGGUACUGUAAGAAUAAGCACCGGCUAACUACGUGCCAGCCGCCGCCGUAA
RNAcentral lists this ribosomal RNA (500 nucleotides) under uncultured bacterium. RNAcentral's name for it is "partial 16S ribosomal RNA". It matches the Rfam family "Bacterial small subunit ribosomal RNA", at positions 30 to 523 of the family's 1533-position model. The record is from RNAcentral.